AUUGAACGCUGGCGGCAGGCUUAACACAUGCCAGUCGAACGAGUGGCGGACGGGUGGGUAAUUCUUGGGAAUCUAGCUUUUGGAGGGGGAUUACUAAGGGCAACUGUAGCUACUACCGCGUACCAUAGGGUGAGUCCAAGUGGGUUUAGUGAGUUGGUAAGGUAAAGGCUCACCAAUCCUACGAUCUCUAGCUGGUCUGAGAGGAUGACCAGCCACACUGAGACUGAGACAAGGCCCAGACUCAUACGGGAGGCAGCAGUGGGGAAUAUUGCGCAAUGGGAGCAACCUGACGUAGCCAUGCCGCGUGAAUGAAGAAGGCCUUCGGGUUGGAAAGUUAUUUCGGUAGCGAGGCGUUAACUACAGAAGAAGCACCGGCUAACUCCGUGCCAGCCGCCGCGGUAAUUC
This 405-nucleotide ribosomal RNA is filed under the name uncultured bacterium. RNAcentral's name for it is "partial 16S ribosomal RNA". It matches the Rfam family "Bacterial small subunit ribosomal RNA", at positions 30 to 526 of the family's 1533-position model. The record is from RNAcentral.